This 777-nucleotide non-coding RNA is filed under the name Trigonopterus puspoi. Lineage: Eukaryota; Metazoa; Arthropoda; Insecta; Coleoptera; Curculionidae. The record is from RNAcentral.
AUUGGGUGUUCUAGCCCAAAUUUACUAUGAAAGAAAAUUUUACAUGCAAGUUUUAGCCGGAGGAAACAAAUUUUUUUGAGAAGGAUGAAAUAUAAUAUUUAAUUGCAGUAAAGAAGGUUAUUAUUUUAGGAAACUAAGAUAUAAAUAUUUUGAAAAUGUAAACUAAGUCUGUGCCAGCAGUUGCGGCUAUACUUACUACGUAAUAGUAAAUUUUUGGCCUAUAGGCGGAUUUUAAGAGAGUUAGAACGGAAAUUUAUUAGGUGAAAUUUUAUUUUUUAUAUGACUUGCGUGAGCUAAUUUUUUCUAUAAAAACUUUAGUUUAAACUAGGAUUAGAUACCCUAUUAUAAAAGACGUAAUUUUUAGGCUGAAUUAGUAGUAGUUAAGUUCUUGAAAAUUAAGGGAGUUGGCGGUUUUUUAGUCUAUUCAGAGGAACUUGUCCUGUAAUUGAUAGUCCACGAUUUUAUUUACUUGUUUUAAAAAUUUACAUAUCGCCGUAGGUGGAAUAUUUUAAAAAGAAGAAGAAUGUUCAGAAUUUUAGGAGAAGUUAUAUCAGGUCAAGGUGUAGUUUAUGAACAAGGAGAGAUGAGUUACAAUAGAAUUAUUUAUACGGAGAUAGAAUUUUUAAUGAUUUAUUGAAGGUGGAUUUGAAGGUAAUUUUAGAAAUUUUUUUAAAAUGAUUUAAGCUCUAGAAUAUGCACAUAUCGCCCGUCGCUUUCACUUUAAGGUGGAAUAAGUCGUAACAAAGUAGAUGUACUGGAAAGUGUCUCUAGAAAGAC